GAUGAACGCUGGCGGCGUGCCUAAUACAUGCAAGUCGAGCGAACGGACGAGAAGCUUGCUUCUCUGAUGUUAGCGGCGGACGGGUGAGUAACACGUGGAUAACCUACCUAUAAGACUGGGAUAACUUCGGGAAACCGGAGCUAAUACCGGAUAAUAUUUUGAACCGCAUGGUUCAAAAGUGAAAGACGGUCUUGCUGUCACUUAUAGAUGGAUCCGCGCUGCAUUAGCUAGUUGGUAAGGUAACGGCUUACCAAGGCAACGAUGCAUAGCCGACCUGAGAGGGUGAUCGGCCACACUGGAACUGAGACACGGUCCAGACUCCUACGGGAGGCAGCAGUAGGGAAUCUUCCGCAAUGGGCGAAAGCCUGACGGAGCAACGCCGCGUGAGUGAGGAAGGUCUUCGGAUCGUAAAACUCUGUUAUUAGGGAAGAACAUAUGUGUAAGUAACUGUGCACAUCUUGACGGUACCUAAUCAGAAAGCCACGGCUAACUACGUGCCAGCAGCCGCGGUAAUACGUAGGUGGCAAGCGUUAUCCGGAAUUAUUGGGCGUAAAGCGCGCGUAGGCGGUUUUUUAAGUCUGAUGUGAAAGCCCACGGCUCAACCGUGGAGGGUCAUUGGAAACUGGAAAACUUGAGUGCAGAAGAGGAAAGUGGAAUUCCAUGUGUAGCGGUGAAAUGCGCAGAGAUAUGGAGGAACACCAGUGGCGAAGGCGACUCUCUGGUCUGUAACUGACGCUGAUGUGCGAAAGCGUGGGGAUCAAACAGGAUUAGAUACCCUGGUAGUCCACGCCGUAAACGAUGAGUGCUAAGUGUUAGGGGGUUUCCGCCCCUUAGUGCUGCAGCUAACGCAUUAAGCACUCCGCCUGGGGAGUACGACCGCAAGGUUGAAACUCAAAGGAAUUGACGGGGACCCGCACAAGCGGUGGAGCAUGUGGUUUAAUUCGAAGCAACGCGAAGAACCUUACCAAAUCUUGACAUCCUUUGACAACUCUAGAGAUAGAGCCUUCCCCUUCGGGGGGGCAAAGUGACAGGUGGUGCAUGGUUGUCGUCAGCUCGUGUCGUGAGAUGUUGGGUUAAGUCCCGCAACGAGCGCAACCCUUAAGCUUAGUUGCCAUCAUUAAGUUGGGCACUCUAAGUUGACUGCCGGUGACAAACCGGAGGAAGGUGGGGAUGACGUCAAAUCAUCAUGCCCCUUAUGAUCUGGGCUACACACGUGCUACAAUGGACAAUACAAAGGGCAGCGAAACCGCGAGGUCAAGCAAAUCCCAUAAAGUUGUUCUCAGUUCGGAUUGUAGUCUGCAACUCGACUACAUGAAGCUGGAAUCGCUAGUAAUCGUAGAUCAGCAUGCUACGGUGAAUACGUUCCCGGGUCU
RNAcentral lists this ribosomal RNA (1373 nucleotides) under uncultured bacterium. Its description in RNAcentral is "bacterial SSU rRNA". It matches the Rfam family "Bacterial small subunit ribosomal RNA", at positions 28 to 1381 of the family's 1533-position model. The record is from RNAcentral.